This 556-nucleotide ribosomal RNA is filed under the name uncultured marine crenarchaeote HF4000_ANIW141M12. RNAcentral's name for it is "bacterial SSU rRNA". It matches the Rfam family "Archaeal small subunit ribosomal RNA", at positions 1 to 564 of the family's 1478-position model. The record is from RNAcentral. Lineage: Archaea; Thermoproteati; Nitrososphaerota; Nitrososphaeria; Nitrosopumilales.
UCCGGUUGAUCCUGCCGGACCUGACUGCUAUCGGAUUGAUACUAAGCCAUGCGAGUCUUUGCAGUAAUGCAAGGCAGACGGCUCAGUAACACGUAGUCAACCUACCCUAUGGACGAGAAUAAUCUCGGGAAACUGAGCAUAAUUCUUGAUAGAUCAUAAUGCCUGGAAUGGUUUAUGGUUAAAAUGAUUCGUCGCCAUAGGAUGGGACUGCGGCCUAUCAGCUUGUUGGUGAGGUAAUGGCCCACCAAGGCGAUUACAGGUACGGGCUCUGAGAGGAGAAGCCCGGAGAUGGGUACUGAGACACGGACCCAGGCCCUAUGGGGCGCAGCAGGCGAGAAAACUUUGCAAUGUGCGAAAGCACGACAAGGUUAAUCCGAGUGAUUUCUGCUAAAGAAAUCUUUUGCCAGUCGUAAAACCGCUGGUGAAUAAGGGGUGGGCAAGUUCUGGUGUCAGCCGCCGCGGUAAAACCAGCACCUCAAGUGGUCAGGAUGAUUAUUGGGCCUAAAGCAUCCGUAGCCGGCUUUGUAAGUUUUCGGUUAAAUCCAUGUGCUCAACG